Oncorhynchus gorbuscha (pink salmon) is the source of this 3078-nucleotide long non-coding RNA. RefSeq lists it as uncharacterized. Lineage: Eukaryota; Metazoa; Chordata; Actinopteri; Salmoniformes; Salmonidae. The transcript is spliced from 4 exons. The record is from RefSeq and is a predicted model, not a curated record.
UGUGAUGUACAGUGCUUUGACUGCCCAGCCUGGUCUGUGAUGUACAGUGCUUUGACUGCCCAGCCUGGUCUGUGAUGUACAGUGCUUUGACUGCCCAGCCUGGUCUGUGAUGUACAGUGCUUUGACUGCCCAGCCUGGUCUGUGAUGUACAGUGCUUUGACUGCCCAGCCUGGUCUGUGAUGUACAGUGCUUUGACUGCCCAGCCUGGUCUGUGAUGUACAGUGCUUUGACUGCCCAGCCUGGUCUGUGAUGUACAGUGCUUUGACUGCCCAGCCUGGUCUGUGAUGUACAGUGCUUUGACUGCCCAGCCUGGUCUGUGAUGUACAGUACUUUGACUGCCCAGCCUGUUCCCCCAGCAUGCUUGAAGUGUCAGUGAACGGGAACAAGAAGCUGAAUCGAUUCAAAAUUAAGGGACGGAUGACAAAGGAUUCUUUGAUGGUGUAUUUAUCUGCAAGGAUGAGGAUGUCUGACUUUGAACUAUGUCCAUACAAAGACUAAACAUGGUUAUGGAAAAGGGGUAUGUGGAGCAUCCCUGUGGACAGCAGCUAAAGAGUCGUCAAGGAAAACAAACAACAAAUUUGAUGAAGAGGGACUUGAUGCUGCCAUCUGCCGCCACGGAAUACUUCUAAGGAACCUCAACAUGAUGCGUGGAGAGAUCUUUGCGUACCCACUGUUCUUGCCGAAGGAAUUGUCUGGCAGCAGGAACAUACAAUUCAUGUGUACGGAUGUGAUCUGCAAAUGUUGGCCAAACCUGUCCAAAGUUGCCCUUCAUUGUCCAGAGCUCGCCACUCUUCUAGACAUGAAGCCCCUUCUUUCCGUCAUGCAUACAAAGGCACAUUGUUUGAAAUGCGAGAAGUUUUUCUUUAUUAAACUGUUCAAAGAGAAUUUCCAGCUUCAGUCCUUUACAAGGCUUCCCAUUUAGUCAAUAUUUGUUUGAAUGUAAAUUAAGAUUAAGUGGGGAGGAUGGAACCGGGAAGGAGCUGGCACAACUCUGGGGGAGGAAGUAGAACAAGGGAACAGCUUCUUGUCGAGGGCUGCAAUCUUGUCGAGGGCAAUACCAUCUGCAGAUGAGAUCCUUUCCGCUGACCUUCAUGCAUGGCCUUGGGAGCUGCAUGGACAAACUGACCUACUCACAAAGAAAAUAGCUUUUGACCGGGUGUCGCUCCUGAGACGGCUGAAAAGUUCAUUGUCCUAAAGGAAGUCAAGCAGCACUGGGAAAGCCUAAAGAGGGAAUCGGAGAAUGUGCAAGACCUUGCUUCACAUGUGGCACUUGACCUAGGCAGGCAAGUUAGGGGAAUUUUCAUGAAUAUGUACAAUUGAUGUUGGCACCCUGUAAUUGCUAUUGUAUUUAAGGAAUAGGUCAUUUUAUUUACCCGACACAUUACGAUUGUUGGUGUUAGGCUGGCAAUUGAAUCAGUUGGAACCUGGGAGCAGAGGUCUCUUCUCCAUGCUUCAGAGGAGAGUCAGCAGCCUCAGAAGACACCAGAACACUGUCAUACUGAUAUACAGCAAAGCUAUGGGCCAAGACACCUCCCUCCUAGAAGAUAACUUCAUAGAUGACCCCCUGGAAGAGGACAUCUAUGACAGCAUCCACUACAGCUCUGAUGACGAGGAAUCUGUCACCGACUGAAGAAGUUUGUUUGGGUGGGUGCAGUUUGCACUGGGUGAAAAGUGAUUCUGCCUUCCUAAGGAAGAAUAGUUUGAACAUUUAAUGGAAAAUCAACGUUUGUUUUUUUCUUGUUGACAAUGUGAUCAUGUGGCAUAGAUUUGAGAAGGGCGCUCGUCUGUUACUGAUUUUGCCCGGUUGCAUGACCAGGCCCGAUGCGCCCCUUUAAAUGGACAAUCUGCAGUUGCUACAUCCACUUUUGGAUUCUUGAAGAAUAGUUCAGCUGCCGUAACCCAUCAGAUCCCAAAAUGUUUUUUAUUUUUUACUCCAAUAUUUGUAACCAAAGUAGAUGUAAACAUACACUAGCAUGUGUCAAACUCAUUCCACGGGUGAGCUGAGUGUCUGCUGUUUUUCCCGCUCCUCCCAUGAUUGAUGAAUUAAGGUCACUAAUUACCAACGAACUCCUCUCACCUGGUUGUAUAGGUCUUAAUUGAAAGGAAAAAAACAAAAACCAGAUGACACUAGGCUCUCCAUGGAAUGAGAUUGACACCACUGGACAAUAGCCUCGAAACAUGGUUUAAACUAUGGUUCCAUUUUUCCAGCCCCACCCCUGCUUUUUACAGAACCAUUGGCAGGGAGAAGGAUUUAUUGUUUCACCUGGUGAUUGCCGAUUUAAACAUAGUUAAACUGUAACGUGUGUGCUUAUUAGUUUAGUUAAUAAAAAAAACAGAAGGUUAUCCUUGACUUCAAGUAAUCAUUUGCAUUAUGGAGUACAUUAGUCAUGGGCUUUUAAGUCAACAAUUUCUUAUGUAUGUAUGAGAUGUACAAAUGCUUAACUAGUACUGAGAAUUUUGACCAGUUACUUCUUUACUCUCAAGUCGUUUUCUAGAGGGCUACUUUAAUUGUACUUGAGUACAAGAACUGACUCCCAUCAGCUACAGAUGAAUCUGGUUAGUUGCAAAAUAUUUCCUAUAAUCUACAGGCACUCGCAAUGAGUCAUCAAAAGUAUGGACACAGAAUGAUUGUAUUUUAUUAUGCUGACCCAAUUAUGACCCAAAAGCGUCUGCUAAAUGGCAUUUAUUAUUAUUAUUAUUAUUAUUAUUUUGGGAAGAAUAAUGCAUAGCCCUUGUGUGUUAAUUAAGCUGCAAACUUGGAAAUGUUCCUAUUGAAAUGUGGGUUGUCCCAUCCUGAACAGGCAUACUCUCAUAUAUGACAUACUCUUAACGCUACUAUCAGCGUAUUAUUAUUAGAAUUAGAUGAAAAAAAUGGCACUUAUGCAGGCAGGUCUGACAUAGUGGGAGAAUUGUGAACAUGCACGUAUAUAUCUAUAGCUGCAAAUGUGGUGCCAUUUUGUACGGUUUGUUCUUUAUCAAUAUCUUCGCUGAUAUCAUUCUAAUUGAUGUGUAGAAUUAUAUGUACAUUCAUUGGGACAUACAUAACGCUGUCCUGCAUCAGCAAAUGCCAAUUCAAUG